RNAcentral lists this ribosomal RNA (468 nucleotides) under uncultured bacterium. Its description in RNAcentral is "partial 16S ribosomal RNA". It matches the Rfam family "Bacterial small subunit ribosomal RNA", at positions 28 to 507 of the family's 1533-position model. The record is from RNAcentral.
GACGAACGCUGGCGGCGUGCUUAACACAUGCAAGUCGAACGGAAAGGCCCUGCUUUUGUGGGGUACUCGAGUGGCGAACGGGUGAGUAACACGUGAGUAACCUGCCCUUGACUUUGGGAUAACUUCAGGAAACUGGGGCUAAUACCGGAUAGGAGCUCCUGCUGCAUGGUGGGGGUUGGAAAGUUUCGGCGGUUGGGGAUGGACUCGCGGCUUAUCAGCUUGUUGGUGGGGUAGUGGCUUACCAAGGCUUUGACGGGUAGCCGGCCUGAGAGGGUGACCGGCGACAUUGGGACUGAGAGACGGCCCAGACUCCUACGGGAGGCAGCGGUGGGGAAUAUUGCACAAUGGGCGGAAGCGUGAUGCAGCAACGCCGCGUGCGGGAUGACGGCCUUCGGGUUGUAAACCGCUUUCGCCUGUGACGAAGCGUGAGUGACGGUAAUGGGUAAAGAAGCACCGGCUAACUACGUG